AAAAUUGCGUGCUACACAUGCAGUCGGACGGUAGCACAGAGGAGCUUGCUCCUUGGGUGACGAGUGGCGGACGGGUGAGUAAUGUCUGGGGAUCUGCCCGAUAGAGGGGGAUAACCACUGGAAACGGUGGCUAAUACCGCAUAACGUCGCAAGACCAAAGAGGGGGACCUUCGGGCCUCUCACUAUCGGAUGAACCCAGAUGGGAUUAGCUAGUAGGCGGGGUAAUGGCCCACCUAGGCGACGAUCCCUAGCUGGUCUGAGAGGAUGACCAGCCACACUGGAACUGAGACACGGUCCAGACUCCUACGGGAGGCAGCAGUGGGGAAUAUUGCACAAUGGGCGCAAGCCUGAUGCAGCCAUGCCGCGUGUAUGAAGAAGGCCUUCGGGUUGUAAAGUACUUUCAGCGGGGAGGAAGGCGGUGCGGUUAAUAACCGCGCCGAUUGACGUUACCCGCAGAAGAAGCACCGGCUAACUCCGUGCCAGCAGCCGCGGUAAUACGGAGGGUGCAAGCGUUAAUCGGAAUUACUGGGCGUAAAGCGCACGCAGGCGGUCUGUUAAGUCAGAUGUGAAAUCCCCGGGCUUAACCUGGGAACUGCAUUUGAAACUGGCAGGCUUGAGUCUUGUAGAGGGGGGUAGAAUUCCAGGUGUAGCGGUGAAAUGCGUAGAGAUCUGGAGGAAUACCGGUGGCGAAGGCGGCCCCCUGGACAAAGACUGACGCUCAGGUGCGAAAGCGUGGGGGAGCAAACAGGAUUAGAUACCCUGGUAGUCCACGCCGUAAACGAUGUCGACUUGGAGGUUGUUCCCUUGAGGAGUGGCUUCCGGAGCUAACGCGUUAAGUCGACCGCCUGGGGAGUACGGCCGCAAGGUUAAAACUCAAAUGAAUUGACGGGGGCCCGCACAAGCGGUGGAGCAUGUGGUUUAAUUCGAUGCAACGCGAAGAACCUUACCUACUCUUGACAUCCACGGAAUUCGGCAGAGAUGCCUCAGUGCCUUCGGGAACCGUGAGACAGGUGCUGCAUGGCUGUCGUCAGCUCGUGUUGUGAAAUGUUGGGUUAAGUCCCGCAACGAGCGCAACCCUUAUCCUUUGUUGCCAGCGAUUCGGUCGGGAACUCAAAGGAGACUGCCGGUGAUAAACCGGAGGAAGGUGGGGAUGACGUCAAGUCAUCAUGGCCCUUACGAGUAGGGCUACACACGUGCUACAAUGGCGCAUACAAAGAGAAGCGACCUCGCGAGAGCAAGCGGACCUCACAAAGUGCGUCGUAGUCCGGAUCGGAGUCUGCAACUCGACUCCGUGAAGUCGGAAUCGCUAGUAAUCGUGGAUCAGAAUGCCACGGUGAAUACGUUCCCGGGCCUUGUACACACCGCCCGUCACACCAUGGGAGUGGGUUGCAAAAGAAGUAGGUAGCUUAACCUUCGGGAGGGCGCUUACCACUGAGAGAUGCCGAACACAGANCNNC
This 1457-nucleotide ribosomal RNA is filed under the name Pantoea agglomerans. RNAcentral's name for it is "bacterial SSU rRNA". It matches the Rfam family "Bacterial small subunit ribosomal RNA". Lineage: Bacteria; Pseudomonadati; Pseudomonadota; Gammaproteobacteria; Enterobacterales; Erwiniaceae. The record is from RNAcentral.